Molecule: ribosomal RNA, 468 nt
Filed under: uncultured bacterium
Lineage: Bacteria
Description: partial 16S ribosomal RNA
Rfam family: Bacterial small subunit ribosomal RNA
Source: RNAcentral
GAUGAACGCUGGCGGCGUGCCUAACACAUGCAAGUCGAGCGAUCUUCUUCGGAAGAGAGCGGCGGACGGGUGAGUAACGCGUGGGUAACCUGCCCUGUACACACGGAUAACAUACCGAAAGGUAUGCUAAUACGAGAUAAUAUACUUUUAUCGCAUGGUAGAAGUGUCAAAGCUCCGGCGGUACAGGAUGGACCCGCGUCUGAUUAGCUAGUCGGUAAGGUAACGGCUUACCAAGGCGACGAUCAGUAGCCGACCUGAGAGGGUGAUCGGCCACAUUGGAACUGAGACACGGUCCAAACUCCUACGGGAGGCAGCAGUGGGGAAUAUUGCACAAUGGGCGAAAGCCUGAUGCAGCAACGCCGCGUGAGCGAUGAAGGCCUUCGGGUCGUAAAGCUCUGUCCUCAAGGAAGAUAAUGACGAUACUUGAGGAGGAAGCCCCGGCUAACUACGUGCCAGCCGCCGCGGUAA